GAUGAACGCUGGCGGCGUGCCUAAUACAUGCAAGUCGAGCGAACGGACGAGAAGCUUGCUUUUCUGAUGUUAGCGGCGGACGGGUGAGUAACACGUGUAUAACCUACCUAUAAGACUGGGAUAACUUCGGGAAACCGGAGCUAAUACCGGAUAAUAUUUUGAACCGCAUGGUUCAAAAGUGAAAGACGGUCUUUCUGUCACUUAUAGAUGGAUCCGCGCUGCAUUAGCUAGUUGGUAAGGUAACGGCUUACCAAGGCAACGAUGCAUAGCCGACCUGAGAGGGUGAUCGGCCACACUGGAACUGAGACACGGUCCAGACUCCUACGGGAGGCAGCAGUAGGGAAUCUUCCGCAAUGGGCGAAAGCCUGACGGAGCAACGCCGCGUGAGUGAUGAAGGUCUUCGGAUCGUAAAACUCUGUUAUUAGGGAAGAACAUAUGUGUAAGUAACUGUGCACAUCUUGACGGUACCUAAUCAGAAAGCCACGGCUAACUACGUG
Molecule: ribosomal RNA, 497 nt
Filed under: uncultured bacterium
Lineage: Bacteria
Description: partial 16S ribosomal RNA
Rfam family: Bacterial small subunit ribosomal RNA
Source: RNAcentral